GUUUUAUAAUUUUUUGGAUUUUGCCCCCCCUAAAAUUCUGCUUUCAAGUCACAACUUCAAAGCUUCGCACACAACUCAAUUUGAAUCAAUAAUUCACCAAACAGAUAUCGAAAUGACCGUAAUCGAGUUAUCUUUCCACAUAAUCAAACCCCACUAAAUUUGGAGUUACAAAGAGAGAUUAAUUACCGUUUUAGUGAAGGUAUGUUCCCCAAAUAUUUUGCACAAAAUCUGCUUUCGAGUCACAACUUCAAAACUUCGCACAGAAUUCCAUUUGGAUCCAUAAUUCACCAAACUGGUACCGAAAUGACCGAAAUCGAGUUAUUUUUCCACAUAAUCAAACUCCACAAAAUUUGGAGUUACAGAGAGAGAUUAAUUAUCAUUUUAGUGAAGAUCUGUCCAAAUCAAUUAAUGUAUGGAACUACUACUGGUAUUUUUGUCAUGUCUCUCAUCCUGUAGCUCAUUUUGCAAUAGUAUUUACAUUUACGGAAAGCUAACGAAAUUACCCUUGUUGUCAUUUAAAUUUCGUCAAAUUUGGAGUUACGAAGUGUUUGGUAGACGAUGUUGAAUUUAAAGGUCAUAAGUAGAUUUCUGCAAAAUUAGUAAUUGGACAGACCUUCACUAAAACUGUAAUUAAUCUCUCUUUGUAACUCCAAAUUUAGUGGGGUUUAAUCCUGN
Molecule: long non-coding RNA, 675 nt
Filed under: Trifolium pratense (red clover)
Lineage: Eukaryota; Viridiplantae; Streptophyta; Magnoliopsida; Fabales; Fabaceae
Description: long non-coding RNA (TPRA_LNC002048)
Source: RNAcentral